Molecule: ribosomal RNA, 253 nt
Filed under: uncultured bacterium
Lineage: Bacteria
Description: partial 16S ribosomal RNA
Rfam family: Bacterial small subunit ribosomal RNA
Source: RNAcentral
UACGUAGGGUGCGAGCGUUAAUCGGAAUUACUGGGCGUAAAGUGUGCGCAGGCGGCCGAGCAAGUCGAGUGUGAAAGCCCCGAGCUUAACUUGGGAACUGCGCUCGAAACUACUUGGCUAGAGUGUGGCAGAGGGAGGUGGAAUUCCACGUGUAGCGGUGAAAUGCGUAGAGAUGUGGAGGAACACCAGUGGCGAAGGCGACUCUUUGGCCUGUAACUGACGCUGAGGCGCGAAAGCGUGGGGAGCAAACAGG